UAUGCGCCAGGGAUGGAAGCGGCAUCCUUUUAUGUAGCAAAGCGAAAUAAAAGAUAUAGCGGACAGCCCGACCCCGC
RNAcentral lists this small RNA (77 nucleotides) under Mesonia maritima. RNAcentral describes it as "Flavo-1 RNA". It matches the Rfam family "Flavo-1 RNA". The record is from RNAcentral. Lineage: Bacteria; Pseudomonadati; Bacteroidota; Flavobacteriia; Flavobacteriales; Flavobacteriaceae.